GACGAACGCUGGCGGCGUGCUUAACACAUGCAAGUCGAGCGGUAAGGCCCUUCGGGGUACGACGAGCGGCGAACGGGUGAGUAACACGUGGGUGACCUGCCCUCCACUUCGGGAUAAGCCCGGGAAACUGGGUCUAAUACCGGUUAGGACCUCCUCAUGCAUGUGGGGUGGUGGAAAGCUUGUGUCUUUGAUGCUUGCGGUGGGGGAUGGGCCCGCGGUCUAUCAGCUUGUUGGUGGGGUGANGGCC
This 247-nucleotide ribosomal RNA is filed under the name uncultured bacterium. Its description in RNAcentral is "partial 16S ribosomal RNA". It matches the Rfam family "Bacterial small subunit ribosomal RNA", at positions 28 to 265 of the family's 1533-position model. The record is from RNAcentral.